GACGAACGCUGGCGGCGUGCUUAACACAUGCAAGUCGAACGGAAAGGCCCUUCGGGGUACUCGAGUGGCGAACGGGUGAGUAACACGUGGGUGAUCUGCCCUGCACUUUGGGAUAAGCCUGGGAAACUGGGUCUAAUACCGAAUAGGACCACGCGCUUCAUGGUGUGUGGUGGAAAGCUUUUGCGGUGUGGGAUGGGCCCGCGGCCUAUCAGCUUGUUGGUGGGGUAAUGGCCUACCAAGGCGACGACGGGUAGCCGGCCUGAGAGGGUGACCGGCCACACUGGGACUGAGAUACGGCCCAGACUCCUACGGGAGGCAGCAGUGGGGAAUAUUGCACAAUGGGCGCAAGCCUGAUGCAGCGACGCCGCGUGAGGGAUGACGGCCUUCGGGUUGUAAACCUCUUUCAAUAGGGACGAAGCGCAAGUGACGGUACCUAUAGAAGAAGCACCGGCCAACUACGUGCCAGCAGCCGCGGUAAUACGUAGGGUGCGAGCGUUGUCCGGAAUUACUGGGCGUAAAGAGCUCGUAGGUGGUUUGUCGCGUUGUUCGUGAAAACUCACAGCUUAACUGUGGGCGUGCGGGCGAUACGGGCAGACUAGAGUACUGCAGGGGAGACUGGAAUUCCUGGUGUAGCGGUGGAAUGCGCAGAUAUCAGGAGGAACACCGGUGGCGAAGGCGGGUCUCUGGGCAGUAACUGACGCUGAGGAGCGAAAGCGUGGGGAGCGAACAGGAUUAGAUACCCUGGUAGUCCACGCCGUAAACGGUGGGUACUAGGUGUGGGUUCCUUCCUUGGGAUCCGUGCCGUAGCUAACGCAUUAAGUACCCCGCCUGGGGAGUACGGCCGCAAGGCUAAAACUCAAAGGAAUUGACGGGGGCCCGCACAAGCGGCGGAGCAUGUGGAUUAAUUCGAUGCAACGCGAAGAACCUUACCCGGGUUUGACAUGCACAGGACGCCGGCAGAGAUGUCGGUUCCCUUGUGGCCUGUGUGCAGGUGGUGCAUGGCUGUCGUCAGCUCGUGUCGUGAGAUGUUGGGUUAAGUCCCGCAACGAGCGCAACCCUUGUCCUAUGUUGCCAGCGGGUUAUGCCGGGGACUCGUAGGAGACUGCCGGGGUCAACUCGGAGGAAGGUGGGGAUGACGUCAAGUCGUCAUGCCCCUUAUGUCCAGGGCUUCACACAUGCUACAAUGGCCGGUACAAAGGGCUGCGAUGCCGUGAGGUGGAGCGAAUCCUUUCAAAGCCGGUCUCAGUUCGGAUCGGGGUCUGCAACUCGACCCCGUGAAGUCGGAGUCGCUAGUAAUCGCAGAUCAGCAACGCUGCGGUGAAUACGUUCCCGGGCCU
RNAcentral lists this ribosomal RNA (1337 nucleotides) under uncultured bacterium. RNAcentral's name for it is "bacterial SSU rRNA". It matches the Rfam family "Bacterial small subunit ribosomal RNA", at positions 28 to 1381 of the family's 1533-position model. The record is from RNAcentral.